Molecule: non-coding RNA, 859 nt
Organism: Nicotiana tabacum (common tobacco)
Lineage: Eukaryota; Viridiplantae; Streptophyta; Magnoliopsida; Solanales; Solanaceae
Source: RefSeq, a predicted model, not a curated record
AAAAAAGAAAAAGAAACAGAUUGCAGUUCAAGAGCGGGUGCUUCACAGAAUAAGAGUAUUCAAAAAAACUAACACUAAAAAAGUGAUGGAUAGGUAUCAGAAAGUGCAGAAGCCAAGAGUUGAGACUCCUAUAAAGGAGUAUGAGAUCAGAAUAACAACACAAGGAAGAUUGAGGAACUACAUUACUUAUGCUACCACUCUUCUCCAGGAAAAAGGAUCUAAAGAAAUUGCUCUCAAAUCUAUGGGCAGAGCCAUUAGUAAAACAGUAAUAAAGAGAAAGAUCGUUGGACUUCAUCAGAUAACAUCGAUUGGUUCAACGGAUAUGUGGGAACCUUUAGAAGAAGGACUUGUUCCGUAAAGUAAGAUGAAAUAUUUUUUCUGGCUUGGAAUGUUUGGCAUUUUGCUCAAUUUUCUUUGUUUAUUACCUAAUGCAGCCUCGAGACUACUCAUCAUGUGUCAGUCAUAACAAUUAUCCUUUCAAAGAAGGAGUUAGAUACGUAAUCAUGAUUUAUGAGCACCGCAUUUAGGAAGUGAACUAAUUAACUUGUGAUCAAUCAAUGAACUACGACUCAAUACCAUACUAGUCAAAAUGCUUUUUUUCAGGCUAUGGCUUAAAGACGCAUGAAUUGUACGUUUCAAAAGUUUGUUCAAAUUUGCAGAUCAACUGGUUCAAUCCCCAUUCAGGGCCAGGGCCGAGGCCAAGGACAAGGACGGGGUAGAGGUCGUGGUCAGGGUAUUAAAUCAAAUGGUCCUCUCCAGGCACCAGCUGCCUAUGUUUGAAUUUAGAUAUAGAAUGUUUUUUAUGUCUGCUUUUAUUGAAAAUUUCUUACUUUAUAUAUAAUGCAAGGAAGGACAUUGG